GUCAGGCUUCUUAUAAACCUGAAUUCUCUCAACAUCUGCAGGAUUUGCCAUUUUCCAUCUGCAUAAUGGAGGAGGAACUCGAUGACGAGUAUACUGAGUCACAGUUUGAUUGCUGUAAGAAUUCAUUUUAGCACUUGACAUGUAAAAUACGAAAGACUUUUGACAUGGAUUACGCAUAACAGGCCUUGUGUUAAAAGCAUACGCAGUAUAAUCCGCUCUCCUGUACCAAUUUAAGAAAGUCCUCGAUGGCAUUUCUAUUUCACGCGGAGAAAGAAUUCCACGAAAUAUCUGAACUGCAAAUCCCCAUGACACUGAAAUAGUCCAACUGUUAACUUUGUCAUAGCAAAUGGAUUGUUGCAUAAUACCAGCUGAGUCGAGUUUCAUCGGUACUGUGAGC
Molecule: unclassified non-coding RNA, 397 nt
Filed under: Hevea brasiliensis (rubber tree)
Lineage: Eukaryota; Viridiplantae; Streptophyta; Magnoliopsida; Malpighiales; Euphorbiaceae
Source: RNAcentral